GAUGAACGCUAGCGGCAGGCCUAACACAUGCAAGUCGAGGGGCAUCGCGGUGCAGCAAUGCACUGGCGGCGACCGGCGUACGGGUGCGUAACGCGUAUGCAACCUGCCCCGCACCGGGGGAUAGCCCGCCGAAAGGCGGAUUAAUACCCCAUGGUCCCGGGGGCCCGCAUGGGCAUCCGGGUAAAGCCUUGGCGGUGCGGGAUGGGCAUGCGUGCCAUUAGCUGGCUGGUGGGGUAACGGCCCACCAGGGCAACGAUGGCUAGGGGGUCUGAGAGGAUGGUCCCCCAACUGGUACUGAGACACGGACCAGACUCCUACGGGAGGCAGCAGUGAGGAAUAUUGGUCAAUGGGCGAAGCCUGAACCAGCCAUGCCGCGUGCGGGAUGAAGGCCCCCUAGGGUUGUAAACCGCUUUUCCCCGGGAAGAAUAACCCCGAUGAGUCGGGGAUGCCGGUACGGGGGAAUAAGGAUCGGCUAACUCCGUG
This 483-nucleotide ribosomal RNA is filed under the name uncultured bacterium. RNAcentral describes it as "bacterial SSU rRNA". It matches the Rfam family "Bacterial small subunit ribosomal RNA", at positions 28 to 507 of the family's 1533-position model. The record is from RNAcentral.